AUACGGGGGGUGCAAGCGUUGUCCGGGAUCAUUGGGCGUAAAGGGUUCGUAGGUGGAAUUAUAAGUCUGGUGUGAAAGCCCACAGCCCAACUGUGGAACUGCACUGGAUACUGUUUUUCUUGAGUUAUUGAGGGGUUUGUGGAAUUUCUGGUGUAGAGGUGAAAUUUGUAGAGAUCAGAAAGAACACCGGUGGCGAAGGCGACAAACUGGCUAUUAACUGACACUGAGGAACGAAAGCGUGGGGAGCGAACAGUAUUAGAAACCCCAGUAGUCC
Molecule: ribosomal RNA, 274 nt
Filed under: uncultured bacterium
Lineage: Bacteria
Description: partial 16S ribosomal RNA
Rfam family: Bacterial small subunit ribosomal RNA
Source: RNAcentral